Molecule: non-coding RNA, 24 nt
Filed under: Arabidopsis thaliana (thale cress)
Lineage: Eukaryota; Viridiplantae; Streptophyta; Magnoliopsida; Brassicales; Brassicaceae
Source: RNAcentral
UAGGCAUCCUGGAAGACGUUCAGC